Lycium barbarum (goji berry) is the source of this 2853-nucleotide long non-coding RNA. RefSeq lists it as uncharacterized. The transcript is spliced from 3 exons. NCBI's taxonomy places the organism in Eukaryota, Viridiplantae, Streptophyta, Magnoliopsida, Solanales, Solanaceae. The record is from RefSeq and is a predicted model, not a curated record.
AUAUCCUCUGCUACAAUACACCGCGCACCUUUAUCUUCUUAAAAAUAUUUUUGUCCAUCUCUCGUCUAGGGUUUCCGCCUUUCUGUAGCAAUGUCUAUUUUAUUUCUUCUUUGCCUCACUUUUUUCAUCUUUUUCAUCGAUAUACCUCAUUUUUGUUAUUGGUAUUGAGAAGCUUUCACCAUAUGCACCACUCGCCCAACUCAUAGUUGAAACACUCAUCUCACCAUUUGGGCGAAAGGGAAAUCACUGGAUUUGGGUUAGGGUUUUUGGAAGCUGAUUUUGGAAUUAGGGCUGUGGAUUUCUUCACAAAUGGUGAUUUUGAAGGCUACAAAAUUGGACUUAUGAUGUUUCACUACUAACAAGAGGUUGUGGUUGGCGUUCUAGUACUCCAUAGAAAGGUAUUCCUAAUAACUCUUUUUGGAAUUUUUUGGUUUAAUUUGGAAAAAGAGGAAGGUGAUUUUUAGUCUUCAUAUUUGUACCAUCUCUGCAAGAUGGAAAAUGUAAAACAACUAAGGAUUUCAGUUUGAAGGACUGGUGAGAGAUACUCUAGUUUGAUUUCUUUGCGAUAUACCUCUGUUUAAUCGGAUUUUGUUGUGGUCAAAUCUUUAGUCCUCCAAUUCUUUUAUUUUUAUGCACCGCUUUUAGGGCAGAUUCCAAAACAACUGACAAGUGAAUAUGCUUGUGAGGAUCCAUGUAUACUCUUUCUAGGGCAAGAUCAAUACUUGUUUUUUUGUGGGUUGUAGUUAUGUCUUGUUUGUUCUAUGUCUUGACAUAUAAUAACUCUGUUUGUCUUUAAAAUAAAACUAAAAUAACUCGACCAAGACAGACUAAGCUUAAUUCUUUCGAAUUAGUAAACUAGUUGCUAGGUAGCCAAUAAGGAAGAAGUAUCUGCAAUUAAUUAUCAUACAGGUAAAUUCCAUGUCACAAAUGUAGUAUUAUUUUGGUUUGAUUAGGUAGGAAAUUGUUCUUAUAGAAGUUGUUAUCUAUUGUGAUUUAGAAUCUUAACCAGCCAAAGGAAAAAAAGUGAAGACCAUGUAAGUUGGUUAGAUCCAUACUGUUAUGGAGAUGAAACCUGAGACUAUCAUGUUUGGAUACAUCCUAAAUAAUUAUGCUCUAUUAAUUUUGAGAAGUGUUUGUGCCACUAGUCUUUGCAUUUGGUUAUUAUCUGUUCAAGGACCGAAAUCUUGAUGUUGCUCCACUGGUACAAAGUUCGUAAAAUAUAACAACUCAAUGGAACUCUUGAGAGUUACUCAUGCCAAAAUUUUGCAGUGACGGAGUAUUAGCGAAUCAUAAAGUAACAUCAGAUAUGCAGGUAAAGAAAACUUUUUGAUUUUUGUAUCAUUUUGUUUACUAAGUGAGCAGUAGCCUCCCAUCUACAGAUUUUUGGUGUUCGCGAUAUAUUUUUAAAUAAGUCUGGAUCUCUCUUUAUAAUAUGCUACAUAUUGUUAUAUUUAAGUCUAUCGUAGUCUGGUGACUAAAAGAAACUUAACUGCUUUUGUGUGUAUGUUGUCCAUUGGUCUCCUUAGUUCUCAUUUGCGUUAGGAUUCUGCGUCAAGUCAUUUUAAAACCUUCAAUUCUAGAAGUAGGUAAGUCAUUUUAAAAGAUUAAGAUUUAUAUUCAAAUAAUGAAGAAUGUGGUAGUAUUAUAAAUUUGCUAGCGCUCUUUGUGCCUAUUUGAGCUCAACAAAAAACAGGAACACAUUUCUCAGAAGUUCAGGUUUCUGUUGUAAUAGCAGGCAGUCAAAAGGUAGUUACUUUUAAAUGGAUACUUGGAUAGAUUAAGUUGUUGUGGCUGGCUGUAAAUAUGAUAAAAAAUAUUUUUUAUGGGUGAAGCUGUAGUAGUAAUUAUAUGAAAGAAUUGUUGGCGUUACUAGAAAUUUUCACCUGAGGAACUGAUGUAUAAGUCUGUCAAUCACCAUAAAUUUUAACAUAUUUUGUAUGAGGAACCUUGUUUAGCACAACUUAGGACUGAAGGUUUUUAGUCUAAUGGAAAGAGCAGAGAUAUUUUUUAUUUUAUUUCUUGGUCAUAUCCAUAUGUUUAAUCAGAUUAUAGUAGGGUCUUCGUGUUUUCUAUUUCUCUUUUUUGGUUAUUUUGCAUGUGUGUAUGCAUUUUCUUGAGUGAAAUUUCCAUGCUUAAGUAUCUUCAAAUUCUGAUAGGAAUUGUGAUCCUAAAAAGAGAUGUGGGAUUUAUGAAGAGAUGUUGCUAAGUUUCGAGAGUUCCUUGCUAAUAAGCAAGAAAGAGAAUGGCAUGCUUCAGGCUUUGAUGAUGGUGAAUCAAGACAGAAGGUAAGAGAAGAUGCUUGCUUCUUCUAAUUAAGUUGUAGCAGCUCGAAGAUUUGCCUCUCAAAUGCUAUAGCUUCUUUGAUUGAAUUUCUUGGUGAAGCAUUUUAUCUCUUAUUCCUUUGAAUGCCAUAUCGAUUAAGUUGUAAUGUUUGAUAAAUCAUCAGACACUUCUAAUUUGGAUGGUCUGAAUUCUAAAUUUGUUAGUCGCUGCACUACUAUUGAUAACUGAUGCAGUAGAAUUUGGCCUCUUUUCAUAUAUUCAGAACUCUUCACUCUAGCUGUAAUAAUUACACUUUUCUUUGUACAGUUAGUUGUUAAGAGUCAAGAUCCUACACCAAGUGAGAAACUUGUAUAGGAUGUUGAAAAGGGAUGAGAUCCAACAACAAGUGAUAUAUGUUUCCAAGUCCAUGUACAUGAUUGAUGGCCUCCAACCAAGCAUUAGCUAGCUUUUUUUGUUAGGGCUUUAUUUUGGUGUUGUGGAUGUAUUGAACUUAAACACAAUUGUUAAAUACAUUAUGCUAUCUCCUUUAGACCUUGUAUUUUAAUUUAUAUGAAUUUCAUUUAUUUUUAA